GGUUCAUGUAAUUCCACUAAAUUCAAGUUAUACGAUGCCAGUUCUCUAAAAUGAAACCAGUAGCUUCAUUUCUGGCCUUUCUUAGUCUUCCUCUUCCCCGCUAGACACAGCUCCUGUGAUCCUUCCAGCCCCUGUCACUCGCACAUAUCACGGACCCGCCCUUUCGGCCCUAACGCCCUGUUGCCAGACCAUGCAAGUGUGACAGCAGGGCCGCUCCAGUUCCGGAGAGCUGGGAACUCAGACGUGCACCACUCACUGGAAGAGUUCUGGCUUUGUUGCCUAAUGGAAGGCAAACCUUAAAAUCCCUUGAGCCCUGGAGGAGCCCUCACAUGGCACCGGGACUUCAGAUCACAGGACUGCCCGAGGGCAGGACCCCCGUCCCCAGCCCCCACACCUUGUACAGGAGAACGAUGGCCACGCUCGAGCAUCCUGUGCUGUGGUGCUGUCAUCCACACCAGUCUGCAGGCCGUGAAAGGUCUCUGCCAUUUUCUGAUGGGACUAUGUAUGCUACCGUCCACAAAGAAAACAGAGGUGCGUUUCUAGGGAGAAGUGCCCCCAAACCCGAUACGGGUGUGCUUUGGGGCUGAACUUACUGAGGCUUUUGAAGACCUAGAAGGACGACUCUGGACCGCCGGUGCCUGUCGGAGCUGAGCCUACAAGAGCUUUCAGCUCCCUCGUCACUCCCUACUUUUCUAGCUCAGGGGCAGUCAUGACUUUCCUACCAAAGGAAAGAGAAGGAAAGACUGCAAAGGGGACAGUGGUAUAAGAGGUGAUCCCUCUUCCUUUCUAAGAUACUUUAAGAAUAAUCCAGUAUCCUUCAAGUCACUUGUCCCUGUUUUGGAAAAUAGCAUGGGGGUUGGGAGGCAAACUUGAUCCUGUCCUCAACCCAGGUACGGCUCACCAAGAACAGAUUAGCUUGGGGCAGGAGCUGUGUGCUCACUUCGAAGGGCAGGCAAGGUAAGAACCCAGGCCCUGGGAAUGGGGGGACCAGCAGCCCAAGGCCAGCUGAGGUGGGCAGGAGGCAAAGGACUGGCAAGAGGAUUCCACCAAGGCUGCAGCUUUGGCAGAAGAGAAGCCCUCAGCUCCACGUAUCUUGUCCACGGAAGCUCUUCGGUCCUGGGUUCCAUCACCACUGCUCCUCUGGAGAAGCCAUGCCCUGGGAACCAGAGAAGGAACCAGCUGCUGCUUCACAGAAAGAGUGUCUAUUCCUGGUCACAUUUCCUUACUGACAAAACACAGGAAUUUUAAGUGUUGACUCAACUGUGCUCCCGAGAAGAAAUAAGAGGGGAAAAUUACCAAACGUAGACACUCUUUAAAUUUAAAACAUCUAUCCAGGAAAGCUGUAAUACUACCUCAGAAAGACCCGAAAGAAUUUUGUAAGCUAAAGAAAGGGGGAAGGGGAGAGUGUUUUUAUUUUCUCCUCUGAUUUAAUGGUUUUCAAAAGCUUGAGCAUGAACCACGGGUGAAGCACAAGUCAACAGUGACUUUUUACUCCUAAUAUCACAUCACUAUCCCUCAGUUACUCUAAUGGAACUCUAAAAGAAGAGCAUUCUGCAUCCAUACCUGCCUCAGUCCAAAAAUACGUAAAGCAGUUCCUUUUUUAAAAGCGUAUACUACAUAUCUGAGUGAGGAAAUCAGAGCAAGGGGAAAUGAAGGGAAAGAUGAAGGCAGAAGUAAGGUCAGUAGCCUCACACGUGCCCUGAGGUCUUCUAGACUUUACUAGGAUGAAGGGGGAAAAUUACCACCGAGCUUCCUAGUUGCCAACGUCAAGAGGGACAUUUGGACACAGAAACAGACACACACAGAGGGAAACAGAUGUGAAGACACACGGGGAAAACGCCACAUGAAGACAGAGGAUUAGACUGAUGCAUCUGGGAGCCCAGGAACGCCUGAGGCUACAAGACGACACACGUGGAACAGAUCCUUCCCUGGCACCUUCAGAGAACACCGGGGCCUGCUGAGACUUGGACAGACCAGACUUCUGGCCUCCAGAACCAGGAGGCAAUCAAUUUCUGUUGUUUUAAGCCACCCAGUUUGUGGUACAUUCUUAUGGCAGCCCUAAGAAACUAAUACACCCAAUAUUUGGAUCCAACAGAUUGAGCUGAAAGCCAGCUAAAUACACAUAUUUUCGGGGCACCUGGGUGGCUCGGCCGUUAAGCGUCUUUGGCUCAGCUCAUGAUCCCAGGGUCCUGGGAUCGAGCCCCGAAUCGGGCUCCCUGCUCAGCCAGAAGCCUGCUUCUCCCUCUCCCACUCCCCCUGCUUGUGUUCCCUCUCUCACUGUGUCUGUCAAAUAAAUAAAUAAAAUCUUUAAAAAAAAAAAAAAAAACACAAAUUUUCAAAGUAUUCAGGUUGUAACACGGGACCUGAAACUGAGGUUUUUCAACUGUGUGUCUUGAUUCCAGAGUCACUUUGUAAUUGUUGUUUUAUAAUCAUUCCACUGAUUAAAAAAAUACUUAACUGGGGAUAAAGGAAUUAUCUUUCUACUCUAGUAUCAAAAAGAUCCUCUCCUGGGGAGCCUGGGUGGCUCAGGCAGUUAAGCGUCCAGCUCCUGAUUUCGGCUCAGGCCAUGAUCUCAAGGUCAUAAGAUUGAGCCCCACAUCGGUCUCUGUGCUCAGCGGGGAAUCUGAAAGAUUCUCUCCCUCUGCCCCUCCCCCUACUCUCUCUCUCAAAUAAAUAAAUAAAUCUUUAGAAAGAGCCUCUCUUGUGAAUAUAGGUAAGGAUCAUUCCUUGCCCUUGUCCACUUCUAUGGGCAAGCUGGCCUACAAAGCUGACAGCCAGAAGACAUUCUGUACU
Long non-coding RNA from Mirounga angustirostris (Northern elephant seal), 2793 nucleotides. RefSeq lists it as uncharacterized. The transcript is spliced from 3 exons. NCBI's taxonomy places the organism in Eukaryota, Metazoa, Chordata, Mammalia, Carnivora, Phocidae. The record is from RefSeq and is a predicted model, not a curated record.